Molecule: unclassified non-coding RNA, 525 nt
Filed under: Hevea brasiliensis (rubber tree)
Lineage: Eukaryota; Viridiplantae; Streptophyta; Magnoliopsida; Malpighiales; Euphorbiaceae
Source: RNAcentral
CGUGCAGAAUACAAUGAUGGUAGUAGGGGUGGUGGCAGUGAUUUUGUUGCUGGUUUUCUUUUAGGAGGCGCCAUAUUUGGAACUUUAGCUUAUAUUUUUGCUCCUCAGAUUAGAAGAUCCCUGCUAAAUGAAGAUGAAUAUGGGUUUCGGAGGGCCAAGCGACCAAUAUACUAUGAUGAAGGUUUAGAGAAGACUAGGCAGACCUUGAAUGCAAAAAUAAGCCAACUGAAUUCUGCUAUUGACAAUGUAUCUUCACGUUUGAGAGGUGGCAAUAAUUCACCUACGGUGCCUGUUGAAACUGAUCCCGAGGUAGAAGCUACCAUGUGAGAUUAGUUUAUGUUUCUUCAUUGUAGUCUGAGACUUCAUACCGUUUGAAAAACAGAUAUGCAACUGUGUCACCACUGUGCUUAUGGGAGGUUUAGCUUUUUUAUGUUUAAAUCAGAAUACAAGUGUUAUAGUUAACAUUAUUGCAGCAUACAACGCUGGCCUUUUUCAUGUAGACUCGAGAAUUUGGGGGUUUGUAGU